Gorilla gorilla gorilla (western lowland gorilla) is the source of this 3991-nucleotide long non-coding RNA. RefSeq lists it as uncharacterized. NCBI's taxonomy places the organism in Eukaryota, Metazoa, Chordata, Mammalia, Primates, Hominidae. The transcript is spliced from 5 exons. The record is from RefSeq and is a predicted model, not a curated record.
AAUCACGGAGAGCGGGUUCCGUCCCCUCGUCGCCUCGGCCUGUAACUGCUGCGGGGGCAGCUCUCUGGGCCCGCCCCUCCAGGCCAGGAGCCUUUUUCAAAAUGCCGGCGGUGGCAGGGAGGGUUGUGUGCUCCAGAGGCUUCCCUAGAGUGAAGAGCUCUACUAUGUAUGCUUUAUGCGGCAGAAGGAGUGCUUUGGAGGAGUUUUUAAAUUUCUGGUUUUUUUUUUAAAUCUUAUCUCAUCGGUUUUAAUUGUAGCAAUGAUUCAAGAAACGUUAGUAGGUGCCCAUAACUUUGGUGGUGGAGAUCCAAAAGUGAACAAGACAGUGUUCUGGCUGCUAAAUUCUUCUUAACUGGUUAUGCCUGGAGACCUUCACUUGGUUCUGUGCCAGCACUGCCCAUGAACUUCAUAGACUGUGAUCUUUGCUAAGGCCUAAAUGAAUGAAGUGCAGGUGCGGGACUGGAAGCAGAAGACAGAAAGUGGAGACCAAAUGUUUGAACCUGGGUAAAGGCAGGGAUGGAGCAGGAACCGAGGAACAAACCUUGGAACUAGAUUCCCAUGAUCAUAUGUGAAAAGGUGAUUGGAAUUGUAGAGAAGAUAGAAAGAUAAAAACUGAGCUGAAUGACCAAAUCUGGUGAUCACUGCUUCAAUGAGUCAUUCUGCAAAUAUUUAUGGAGUGCACACAUGUGCCAGACCCUGUACAUAGUCGAGCCUAGGGCAACAUCAAGGAACAACCUGAUCUCCAUACUUAAGCUUGUAAAACACACAUCUUUGGGAAAUGCUGGUUCAUCAGACUGGGUGGCAUCAAUGAGAGCAGAGAGUUGAGCCUCAAGGGAAUGGAACACAAGACAAGCAAAUUCAGAUGGAAGAGGAGGAGGAGAAGAUUCUGGACCAUGUGUUCUCUCACCAGCUGUCUGCCUGCAGUAUUGGCCUUGUUCGUGCUACAAGAAAUGGAGCAAAAUCUCAUUCGCAGUCGCCUUGUUGCUCAAGGAAUUUUUAAGAGACAAGGGUGAAGGAUUCCAACUGCAAACAUAUAUACAUGUGGGUGUAAGAAACAUAAACAGAAGAGAGCACUUAUGGGUAACAGAAGUGCCAGCUGGGACUUUAGAGCUGGGUGGUUUGUGUUUGCAAAGUUUUUUUUUUUUUUUUUUUAGUCGAGAGUAGUUCUUAGAGUACAUAAUCCAUAUGGUGUGUUUAAAAUAGACCACAUAGUCCGAAAAUGGAGCUCCUGAGAAAUUCACAGAUAACAAUCUCAACUGCUAUUUUCAUAUGUUAAAGCUGAAAUCAUCUCGUAAAGAUAAUUCAGGAUGAAAUAUUUUCAUUUCCAUUUAAAUGCAGAAUUAUUUAGUUUUCAUUGCAAAAAGCUCCAGCCAGAGCCUCCUAAUAAAGUCACAUGCCUGACUCCAGGCAUUUUUGAAGUGUCUGUUACAAUACCGUGGUAUCUAGCUUGUAGGAAAAGAUAAAAAGAGAAGAUAUACAAAGAGAAUAAAAGAUCUGGAAUCAAAUGUUUUAAUAAUUAAUUCUACUAGGGAACAGGGAGCGGCAACCUGUAGAGUUAUAACUGUGGAGAGUGCUUGAGUACUUGGCUUUAUGAUAAAAAUCCCAAAUCACUUUCAGCUUUAUUCUUUGCUUAAAAACAGUAAUUCAUUACUGAAAACCAUGAAAUAAAAAAGUUCACUAAUUAGAUUAAAUGGAUACUAAAUAGAUAAAUACAUAAGUAGAUUUUGUACCUAUAAAUAUAACUGUUGUGAAGAUUUGUUGAGUCAUUUUUUUGUGACUCAUUUUCUUUCCCAACUUCCCAAUCUUUUGGGGCUCAUGGUUGCAUUAUAUUCAGAAUACACUUACAAAUAGUGCAGAAAGAAAUAUAUACCAAGGGGGCAACAUUAAGGUGUGUCUCAAAAAUGUGGAAAUGUGGCCAACAGCCAUCAACCAGUUUAUCCUUCUUGCUUAGCUUAAAAACCAAGCAAAAUCCUUUGAGUUCGUUCAAGCAUGGUAGACAUAAAACUUGUUUCAUAUUACUAUAUUCUCUUACUAAAAAUUGUUGUGUCAAGUAAAUUGAUGAAGAUAUCUUUGUCUAAAUUAAUAAUGUUGACAUAUCACUUCUUUUAGUUCAUUUAGUGUGUUUUGGGGUGAAAAAAUUGAUAUUCUGGGAAGAAAGUAGUGUUCUAAAAGUGGUAUAAUUCCUCAAAAGCCAUUAUGAGAAAAAAAUCAUUAACUGUACCAUAUUAUAUAUUAAGUAUUAUGUGUCACACAUUGCACUUAUAAAGCCUGAAUUAUAUAAUACUUUUCAGCUCACCUCAGAGAAGACAGCAUUGUGCUGUGUGCCUAGUGGAAGAUUUUCACUUCAGACAAAAGGAUGGGAAUAAGUAACUUGCUCAGGGACUUAUACCAAGUUUAUAGACACAAUAAAUUAACCAACACAACUUUAUGCAGCAGUUGUGGAAAGUUUGAUUCCAAAUAAGUUAAGCAAAGAAAGAUUAGCUUGUUGGAAUAAUCCCAGAAUAUUUUAACAGAAGAGGAGCUCUUGUCCAGGAUUGGCCAAUAACCAGCUCUGUGGCCUUGGAAAAGUCUCAUAUCCUCUGGGAUCCUCUCUUUCCUCAUUUGUAAUAAAAAGGAGUGGUUGCACUAGAUCUUCAUUAAAGUCCAUUAAGUAUCCACAUUCUGGGAAGCUAAUGUUUUAGUUAACCUCUUAAAGUAGAGAACACAAUAGAUGUGAGAUUUUUAAUUUAAUGUGGCCCCAGUGGUUACAGGGUUAUACCUAUACCUAUACCUAUGUUUAUACAUGUAAUAGGGAGAGAUUGAUUUGAAUGUUUUGAAAUAAAAGUAUUCUAAGUCAUCUCACACCACAUUCAUUUAUAGAAAUUGUGGGACCCUAUUAGACCCAAAAAGGAUUUGAAUACUAUAUCAGGUUGAUAAAUGUAGAUACUAACAAACCAUCCAGAAACUUGUAUUUCAAACACAUCCUGAACUGGAGUCAAGACAUCACCAGAUCUUUCCCACACACACUGUAUACAAUGGACUAUGCUUCAUGCUUCUUUGUUCAUCUCCAGGGUAUCUGUUUGGUGCCAGAUCAGUGUUUCAGGAAAUUAGUAGUUACUGAGUUUUUCUCAUAGUAGUUCCAAAAGUCAGUUUCGUGCUACAUGGGUGACUUUAAAGAUGACAUAUGUUAAUUUAUAUAACAUUAUCCGAGAUGAAAAUGUAAAAGCUGUGCCUUCAAUGAAAGGCAUCAAAAGUCUGAAAACCAGAAGUUUACUUAUAAAAUGUAAAUCUUUUAAAACUGGACUUAUCUCCCAUGGCCCCAUGGAGUAAUGAGUGUUGUAACUUCAAAGCUAAGUUUCUAAAACUUGACACUUGUGAUAUUUUGGGCCAGGUAGUUCUUUGUGAUGGGAGACUGCCCUCUGCACUGUAGGAUGUUUAGAAGCAUCCCUGGCCUCUACCCACUAGAUGCCAUUAGCAAUCCUCCAUCACCAUGCAACAACCAAAAACGUGUCCAGCUAUUGCCAGAUGUGCCCUGGGAGACAAAAUAGCCCCAAGAUGAAAAUCACUGCCUUAUGGAAAGAUAAGUUGGCAAUGAUAUUAUAUCACAAUUUUCUUUUCUUGAAAAUAAUAGUGGUGUAAUUAUACAUUUGACAAGAAAAAAAUAGUUUGUGGCUAAUUGAACUCUGAUGUAAGUUUUUGGUGCUGCUAUGCUGACCUCUGUGAGUAUGUUCAGUAGAGUUAAUUUACUGUCCUUUUAAAUACUUAGGCAACAUGGAGUUAAUUCACAUACAUGGAAUAGAAGCUGGACAGGGGGUUAGAAGUUAGUCCAUAUAUUAAAAUGGAUGGAGGAAGAUUACUAUCGAAAUUGCAAAAAGAAGAAUUUGUUCCUUUCCCUUGGAGCGGACCUAAGGAACUUAAUUUAUGUUGAUUUUUUUUCCUCAAGAAUUGGAAACAAGGAAAAUAAAGCCAGAAAACAAGCACAUUUGAGAGUAAAUAAAGUCAUUUCUUCCAU